CUGGGCCCGGGACGAGCCAAGAAUGACCCUGUUCCAGCAAAAACACCAGGCCAACACUGAUGGAACAUAUCCAGGAGUAUACCAGCCCUAGAAGAUUCAUUGAAUUGCGGGCUGUAUUUUGUCCCAAACCCACCUGGACAAGGCUUAAUUAUGUCAGAUGGCAGUAUGGUUUGCAACAAGACCAAAAUCUGUACUCCCCAACAAUUAGGGGAGGGAACAACGUUACAAAGAAUGUUUACUUACCAGGACUUGCAACCAGGGUCUAUCAGCAAGUCAGCAAAUUAGAUUAUGUGUGCCGUGGCCCUCAAUGGAAGUUGUUUGUUAAUAAGCCAUCAGAUAGCUUUUAGGGUUUCAAAAAGGUUUCUUAGCAACUGUUAGCCCUGAGGAAGAAAAAAAAAGAGAGAGAGAGAGAGAUGACACAGAAGCUUUUGGUUUGAAACCUAAGGAGCUACAUGGGUGAAAAUCGAAACUGGACCCCCCCCCAGACCAAGGUCAAGGAGAGACCAAAGAGGCAGACCUCUCCAGAAAGGUAAGUAGGAGGGGUAAUAAGCAAGGGAACUUAACAAGGCUUGUCCUGAGCCCGCCACUGACAAGGGGAUCUCUGCACCUGCCCGCCAGAAUCUUAAAAAGUUUCUAUUAUAUAGAGGUUUCGAUGGGGGUCAGUAGUAUAUGGUCCAGAUGGUCCUAACAGCACUUUGCUCUCUCAAGGCCACAUCCUUGAAAU
Molecule: long non-coding RNA, 724 nt
Filed under: Zalophus californianus (California sea lion)
Lineage: Eukaryota; Metazoa; Chordata; Mammalia; Carnivora; Otariidae
Description: lncRNA (ENSZCAG00015023322.1)
Source: RNAcentral